UUUUCUUCUUGUACAUAAUGAAAGGCGUCACUGCGGUAUUGGCCCGGUUCACUCAGACACAGUACAUGUUAUUAUUUGUUUGAUUGAGCCGUGCCAAUAUCUCAAUGCACCUUUCAUCCCCGAAAGAAAA
Molecule: microRNA precursor, 130 nt
Filed under: Linum usitatissimum (flax)
Lineage: Eukaryota; Viridiplantae; Streptophyta; Magnoliopsida; Malpighiales; Linaceae
Source: RNAcentral